RNAcentral lists this transfer RNA (91 nucleotides) under Pseudomonadota bacterium. RNAcentral describes it as "Proteobacteria bacterium (activated sludge metagenome) tRNA-Ser". It matches the Rfam family "tRNA". Rfam says of the family: Transfer RNA (tRNA) molecules are approximately 80 nucleotides in length. Their secondary structure includes four short double-helical elements and three loops (D, anti-codon, and T loops). Lineage: Bacteria; Pseudomonadati; Pseudomonadota. The record is from RNAcentral.
GGAGAGCUGCCCGAGUGGGAAGGGGCUCGCUUGCUAAGCCAAGGCCGGCGACGCAGUCGCCGCGGGCGUUCGAUUCGCUCGCUCUCCGCCA